RNA transcript from Sceloporus undulatus (fence lizard), 2099 nucleotides. It is a transcript of the gene named family with sequence similarity 216 member B, with no coding region annotated. Lineage: Eukaryota; Metazoa; Chordata; Lepidosauria; Squamata; Phrynosomatidae. The transcript is spliced from 4 exons. The record is from RefSeq and is a predicted model, not a curated record.
CUUUCUCUCUGUUGCUAGGUUAUUUGUCAACAGAACAGAAGGUAUUGUGGUUCUUGGGAAAUGCUGGAUGUAAUAUUAAUAAUUAUCUUGUGAAGAAACCGUGUUGCUAUCUUCCACAGCUGGUUUGCUUCCUGCAUUUUAGAAACAGCAUAAGGAUGGGAGAAUACUGGAAAAGAAAUCACAGCACUUGCUGUGAUCCCAAACUUCUGUGCAUACAAGUGCCUUCAUCUGCUCAGGACUCCCCUUUAAUGAAGGACUUGAAGAGAGGACAGAAAGGCUACUUUUACAGCAUUAUGAGAAUAUAUGACAGCAAAGCGCCGAGGGAAAUGUUGUACCGUCGCUAUGCGAUCAAUCUCCAGUGCCAGAACGUGCUGGGGCUCAUCACAAAGCAGCAAGUCGAAUGUUACGCCUCCUACCUGAAAGAUUCACAAUCCUACAGAAGGUCAAGGUUGGGGACAGCGCCUCCUGUGAAGGCAGUCUUCAGGAAGGCACAGCUGGGGCUUUUUAAUCAAAUAUGACUCAAAGAAACCAAAAGGACUCACACUCAGUGGAAAGAAGAGAGAAGGUAGGGGGGAAGAGGAUGAAUAACCUUUCCUCAUUUGUGAGAACUGUACACUAAACCUUAUUUCUCAUGUCACACUCUGCAAGAACUAACAUCCAGAUGCCUACAAAGGAGGUUGAAUGGCUCUUCGUUCUUUUUUUUUUAAUGCAUAUCCAUUUCUUUCUUUCUUUUUAAAAAGUGAUCAGAAUUUGCAUCAUUUUAUAUACCUUAUGUGCACCUGGAUAUUUUAGAAUUUGCCAUGCAUAGGAAAGAAAAAACCCAACCCUGAUCAGGGAAGGGAGAGUGUAAUACCAGAAACUCAGGAUGGAUAAGUGUGGGACAUUAAGGACAUAUAGAUAUGGGAGCCUGACCAGAAGCAGUGAAGGGGGUUCUGGCAGUCAGUAAGAACACAGACGUUCUCAGCAGUGGAGGUUUUCCACAUUUUUUGAAACCUUUAUACAUAAGCAUGAAGGCUAGAAGUGUGCUUAAAUAAAAUGGAAGCUGUGCAAUUUUUAUGAAAAUGAAUUCUGUCCCAGACUUACUCUGAGAUUUUGCAUGAGCAAGAAGCUGUGUAAAUACAUCUGUUACCACAGCCUGAAAACUUGAUAAACAUGUACUUAAUAGGAAGACUAUCUUAGAGAGAGAAAACAGUACAAAGCCAGAACUUUGGCUGGUGAUGUAGCACAAAUUGAUUAAUGCAGUUCCAGUCUAAAUGGACAUUGUAUAUAUUGUGGACAUUAUGGACAUUAUAUAGGAUUUCAUAUUAGUUCAUUGUAACACAUGCAUUACAAUUAUUACUGGAAUUGUCAAAAUAUUCUCUCUCUCUCUCUCUCUCUCUGAUUUCUUGAUACCAUAUUUAAAUAUGAGAUGACUAAUAUUACAAAUAAAAUACUUGUGCUAUAUUGAUAGUUUUAAAAAUCCAUUUUUCAUUCUUGGCAAGUGAUAUUUUCCUGGGAAAAGUUUGCACUAUGCCUUUCUUGAGACCUUUGUGAAGGGUACAAGUGAACAAAGUACUUUCACUAGCUUGUUGUUCAUUUACUGUAAAUUAGGACAACCCAGCCUUUCUGGCUUGUUACAUCCAAAUGCUUCCGUUGUCUCAAACCACCCACAGAAGUCCUAUGAUUUGUUAAAGGAAAGGUUUAAUUUCCAAGUCCACUUCACUUUUAUUGCUUUCCCAACUGCAUUCUUAUAGCCAAAUCCAUACUAUUUAUGUGUCACUUCUCCCCCAGUGCAAUGCUUUGCUGAUUUCACAAGGUGAUGCUAUAAAAUUUUGCAAGAAAUUGGUUGUCAACAAAAAAAAAAAUAUAUGACUGCUUUGGCAGCAGUAGUCCCAAUUUCCUGAAACUUCUGAAAAAGGAAGAUGUGUGAAGUUUCUGGCUGUAAUGUGCCUCAUUCCAGAGUUCCUUGUUCUCUCAUACCCUUUUAUUUGCCCUUUUGUGAACUUCAUUUGUUUGCCCCUUGUUCCUUUGUUCUCCUUCUGAUCCAAGAGAGAUCUAUUAAAUGUGGAGUCAGAAGCUUUCAUGGCCGGGAUCCAUAAUUUUGUGUGGGAUUUUCAUGC